CCUACGGGAGGCAGCAGUGGGGGAUAUUGGACAAUGGGGGGAACCCUGAUCCAGCGACGCCGCGUGAGUGAAGAAGUAUUUCGGUAUGUAAAGCUCUGUCAGCAGGGAAGAAAGAAAUGACGGUACCUGACCAAGAAGCCCCGGCUAACUACGUGCCAGCAGCCGCGGUAAUACGGAGGGGGCAAGCGUUAUCCGGAAUUACUGGGGGUAAAGGGAGCGUAGACGGUUAAGUAAGUCUGGAGUGAAAGGCCGGGGCCCAACCCCGGGACUGCUCUGGAAACUAUUGAACUUGAGUGCAGGAGAGGUAAGCGGAAUUCCUAGUGUAGCGGUGAAAUGCGUAGAUAUUAGGAGGAACACCAGUGGCGAAGGCGGCUUACUGGACUGUAACUGACGUUGAGGCUCGAAAGCGUGGGGAGCAAACAGGAUUAGAUACCCCUGUAGUC
RNAcentral lists this ribosomal RNA (443 nucleotides) under uncultured bacterium. Its description in RNAcentral is "partial 16S ribosomal RNA". It matches the Rfam family "Bacterial small subunit ribosomal RNA", at positions 338 to 795 of the family's 1533-position model. The record is from RNAcentral.